CGCUGGCGGCAGGCCUAACACAUGCAAGUCGAGCGGUAGCACAAGGGAGCUUGCUCCCUGGGUUGACGAGCGGCGGACGGGUGAGUAAUGUCUGGGGAUCUGCCUGAUGGAGGGGGAUAACUACUGGAAACGGUAGCUAAUACCGCAUAACGUCGCAAGACCAAAGUGGGGGACCUUAGGGCCUCAUGCCAUCGGAUGAACCCAGAUGGGAUUAGCUAGUAGGUGGGGUAAUGGCUCACCUAGGCGACGAUCCCUAGCUGGUCUGAGAGGAUGACCAGCCACACUGGAACUGAGACACGGUCCAGACUCCUACGGGAGGCAGCAGUGGGGAAUAUUGCACAAUGGGCGCAAGCCUGAUGCAGCCAUGCCGCGUGUGUGAAGAAGGCCUUAGGGUUGUAAAGCACUUUCAGCGAGGAGGAAGGAUGAAGUGUGGAGCUCUGAGACAGGUGCUGCAUGGCUGUCGUCAGCUCGUGUUGUGAGAUGUUGGGUUAAGUCCCGCAACGAGCGCAACCCUUAUCCUUCGUUGCCAGCGAUUCGGUCGGGAACUCAAAGGAGACUGCCGGUGAUAAACCGGAGGAAGGUGGGGAUGACGUCGAGUCAUCAUGGCCCUUACGAGUAGGGCUACACACGUGCUACAAUGGCGUAUACAAAGAGAAGCGAGCCUGCGAGGGGAAGCGGACCUCAUAAAGUACGUCGUAGUCCGGAUUGGAGUCUGCAACUCGACUCCAUGAAGUCGGAAUCGCUAGUAAUCGUAGAUCAGAAUGCUACGGUGAAUACGUUCCCGGGCCUUGUACACACCGCCCGUCACANCCAUGGGAGUGGGUUGCAAAAGAAGUAGGUAGCUUAACCUUCGGGAGGGCGCUUACCACUUUGUGGUUCAUGA
RNAcentral lists this ribosomal RNA (883 nucleotides) under uncultured Eubacterium sp. RNAcentral describes it as "bacterial SSU rRNA". It matches the Rfam family "Bacterial small subunit ribosomal RNA". The record is from RNAcentral. Lineage: Bacteria; Bacillati; Bacillota; Clostridia; Eubacteriales; Eubacteriaceae.